RNAcentral lists this ribosomal RNA (440 nucleotides) under uncultured bacterium. Its description in RNAcentral is "partial 16S ribosomal RNA". It matches the Rfam family "Bacterial small subunit ribosomal RNA", at positions 338 to 795 of the family's 1533-position model. The record is from RNAcentral.
CCUACGGGAGGCAGCAGUAGGGAAUAUUGCUCAAUGGGGGAAACCCUGAAGCAGCGACGCCGCGUGGAGGAUGAAGGUUUUCGGAUUGUAAACUCCUUUUGUUAGAGAAGAUAAUGACGGUAUCUAACGAAUAAGCACCGGCUAACUCCGUGCCAGCAGCCGCGGUAAUACGGAGGGUGCAAGCGUUACUCGGAAUCACUGGGCGUAAAGAGCGCGUAGGCGGGAUAGCAAGUCAGAUGUGAAAUCCUAUGGCUUAACCAUAGAACUGCAUUUGAAACUGUUAUUCUAGAGUAUGGGAGAGGUAGGUGGAAUUCUUGGUGUAGGGGUAAAAUGCGUAGAGAUUAAGAGGAAUACUCAUUGCGAAGGCGACCUGCUAGAACAUAAAUGACGCUGAUGCGCGAAAGCGUGGGGAGCAAACAGGAUUAGAUACCCUUGUAGUC